CCUACGGGAGGCAGCAGUGAGGAAUAUUGGUCAAUGGGCGGGAGCCUGAACCAGCCAAGUCGCGUGAGGGAAGACGGUCCUAUGGAUUGUAAACCUCUUUAGGCGGGGAGCAAUGCCGGGCACGCGUGCCCGGAGGGAGAGUACCCGCAGAAUAAGCAUCGGCUAACUCCGUGCCAGCAGCCGCGGUAAUACGGGGGAUGCGAGCGUUAUCCGGAUGUAUUGGGUUUAAGGGGUGCGUAGGCGGAUUUUAAAGUCAGCGGUAAAAUGUCCGGGCUCAACCCGGGCCGGCCGUUGAAACUGGGGAUCUUGAGUGGGCGAGAAGUAUGCAGAAUGCGUGGUGUAGCGGUGAAAUGCAUAGAUAUCACGCAGAACUCCGAUUGCGAAGGCAGCAUACCGGCGCCCGACUGACGCUGAGGCACGAAAGCGUGGGGAGCGAACAGGAUUAGAUACCCGUGUAGUC
Molecule: ribosomal RNA, 460 nt
Filed under: uncultured bacterium
Lineage: Bacteria
Description: partial 16S ribosomal RNA
Rfam family: Bacterial small subunit ribosomal RNA
Source: RNAcentral